This 144-nucleotide long non-coding RNA is filed under the name Polistes fuscatus (common paper wasp). RNAcentral's name for it is "uncharacterized LOC122525673". The record is from RNAcentral. Lineage: Eukaryota; Metazoa; Arthropoda; Insecta; Hymenoptera; Vespidae.
GGGAGAUCAAUUACCGAAUUAUGUCAGCGAAUCUCUAAAAACAGUUCCAGAAAACAAUGAAGAAGGCGAUAUUGAAGACGAUCAAUCCACAGAAUGGAAUAAUAGUGACGAGGAGUAUGGAUGUAUUGACGACGACGAUGAAAA